CUGGGAUCUAGCACCAACACUGGUCCCAUCUGGAUUAGCAGCUGAGAGAAGUAGAAAGUAGACAACCAGAUAGGAAUUACAAGAAUCUUUUACCACAUACCCUCCCAAACUUUAACUUGUUAUUGCUCAGGAAAUUUCAAAGUCAGAGUGCAGAGUGUAUGAGGCACCGCAUGCCUGUGUGACUGUUGGUAUGGAAAAUGCCCUUGAGAAGAGUGAGAGCUGGUGCUAGAAGGAUGUUCUGUAAAUGUGGAAGAACCCAUGAUGGAGAGAGGACUCCAAGAUGGAGGAGAUUUCUCAUGGAGAUUUGUGUUGAACUUGUCCUGGUGAAGAUGAAAGAACCUGGUGUCAGAUUGGUCUGUACAGUUUUCACAGAUAAGAGUGCAAGAAGAGUAGGACCUUCGAAGCCAUAAAUCACAUGUAUUUGACAAUCUAUUGACGACUGUAAAAAAAAUCUCACUCCUGAGCUCAUGCCUGGGUCCUAGUCAUUCAGACUUAGAUCCUCCAGGUGCACAUCCCAUGGGAUGGAUAAUAAUCAUCCAUUAUAUGUAAACACCAGUUCUUUCUCGAGUGGACUUUUAUGAUGAACGAUCUAGAUGCUCUGUGUUUUGGCUCUGGGAAAAAAUCACUUCAGAAACCCAUCUCUACAGACAGCAUGAAAGAUACAGCAUCAGGUUUGCUUUCUUAUGUGCUCCUUCAGCCUUGUCCUUACAAGAUUUGUUUUUCAAAUAUCCACAUGCUUUUAUGCAGCAGCUCAGUUUCAUUCCAUAGAAACAAUACCUCAGCUGUGAGUUGCAGCAGUUAUAUACAAUGAUAUAACUUUUUUUUUUUUUUUUCCCCACAGAUUUUUUAUCUUUCUUACUUUUCCCUCCAGUCCCUUUUGUCCUACAGGUUCUUAUAGUACAAUUCCUACAGUCUUUUAAUUCCCCAAAUAAGUUAGCUUCCUUAUUCUAACACCAAAGGUUCUGGGAUUUUAAGUACAGAAAUAGAGCUUAAAGUCUGUGAAGGGGGAAAAAAAAAGCACAAAGACUUUAAAAUAAAUAAUUUUGGAAAGCAGAUGUUGCAGAGAGUGCAAAAUAAAAGCCGUACAAGUUUUAGAGUACAUUUUGUUCCCAGAAUUGCUGAACCGGACUGGAUCUCAGUAUACACUGUUUGCAGACGGCUUUUGUUCUGCCAUGGGAGCUAAUGGAAAUGAAACAGGCUUUUUGUUGAGAAAGUGUAUGAGACAUGGACUGGGGAAACUGUGCUCAUGAAGUAGAUGUCUUAAAUAUUGAAGAGAUAUGUGGGUGUUUGAGUAAGAAAUAGGUGCCAGCAAAGACGGUCCUACACAUUGUGCUAGGUCUCUCAUUACCUACCUACAUUAUCUUCUGGCUCUUCUCCUGUUCAGAGUUCAUGCCCAAGUAAUUGUGUGCAGCUGUAGCUGUCAUUCGGCUCUGGCCCAGGACAACAGAACAUUGUAGUGACUCUGGGCCAGACCAUGUUUGCUUGUUUGAGUCUUCUUCCCAUACUUCUAAUUUCAUAUAUUACCCACCCACUUGGCUAAAGACCAGUCUCAUGUGCCCAGCUGGCUAGCUUUGACUACUGACACCAAAACUGCUUCAACAGAAAAUAAAAAUGGACAUUGUAGAUCCCCAGCUAAAUAAGCAACUUUGCUCUAGGCUGUCAUGGACUCCCAGCUUAUACAUCCUGUCUACAUCAGCUCUGGUAACAGUAGAUUCUGUCUGUGGGAUCCUGUGCCUGGCUGAUUCCCCAGUGAGAAAGAAGGAGGGAAAAGCCUGUAACUGUUGGAUCUAGCAGGCUCUCUGCUGACUCCUCCAGUAAUUGGUCUAGUCCAUGGAGAACAAGGACUUCAAAAAAUCCAUGAUAAAUCAUGGGCACUACCAGACACAGAUGAUUCUACGGUUACUUUCGGUAUCCACUCUUCAUGAUGGCUAUAAGUCACCCAUGCAGGGGUAUGCAGGGUUAUAGAAAUAUACAGGGGUAUAGAAAUAUUUUACCAGCAGCAUAUGCCCUCCCUAUACAACACAGAAUGUUCCGAAAUGCUGAAUGUAUGGGAAGAAGAAAUUCACCUCCAUGGAGAAGCCUAUAAUCCCAAGAAACAUCUGGGUAUACUUUCUACCUAUCUCAAGCUGAAGUGCAGCUGUAUAAUCUUUUUGUGCAGGAGAAUUCAUUAUUAUUCUUGUUCAUGUGUGUGUCUAUCUAUUUAUCUAUAAUAUGGUCUACUGUG
Long non-coding RNA from Anas platyrhynchos (mallard), 2224 nucleotides. RefSeq lists it as uncharacterized. Lineage: Eukaryota; Metazoa; Chordata; Aves; Anseriformes; Anatidae. The record is from RefSeq and is a predicted model, not a curated record.